Molecule: ribosomal RNA, 461 nt
Filed under: uncultured bacterium
Lineage: Bacteria
Description: bacterial SSU rRNA
Rfam family: Bacterial small subunit ribosomal RNA
Source: RNAcentral
CCUANGGGAGGCUGCAGUGAGGAAUUUUGGACAAUGGGGGAAACCCUGAUCCAGCGACGCCGCGUGAAGGAUGAAGGUCUUCGGAUUGUAAACUUCUUUUAUUUGGGACUAAGAAACUUGUAGAAAUACAGGGAGUGAAUGUACCAAGUGAAUAAGCCACGGCUAACUUCGUGCCAGCAGCCGCGGUAAUACGAAGGUGGCAAGCGUUACUCGGAAUUACUAGGCGUAAAGGGCAGGUAGGUGGUUUGGUAAGUCUGUUGUGAAAGCUCCUGGCUUAACUGGGAGAGGUCAACGGAUACUGCCGGACUUGAGUAUGGGAGAGGUUACUGGAAUUCCCGGUGUAGCGGUGAAAUGCGCAGAGAUCGGGAGGAACACCAAUGGCGAAAGCAGGUAACUGGACCAUUACUGACACUCAGCUGCGAAAGCUAGGGGAGCAAACAGGAUUAGAUACCCCUNUANUC